UACGGGGGGGGCAAGCGUUGUUCGGAAUUACUGGGCGUAAAGGGCUCGUAGGCGGCCAACUAAGUCGGACGUGAAAUCCCUCGGCUUAACCGGGGAACUGCGUCCGAUACUGGAUGGCUUGAGUUCGGGAGAGGGAUGCGGAAUUCCAGGUGUAGCGGUGAAAUGCGUAGAUAUCUGGAGGAACACCGGUGGCGAAGGCGGUUCUCUGGGCCUGUACUGACGCUGAGGAGCGAAAGCGUGGGGAGCGAACAGG
This 253-nucleotide ribosomal RNA is filed under the name uncultured bacterium. RNAcentral's name for it is "partial 16S ribosomal RNA". It matches the Rfam family "Bacterial small subunit ribosomal RNA", at positions 524 to 776 of the family's 1533-position model. The record is from RNAcentral.